AGAGUUUGAUCCUGGCUCAGGAUGAACGCUGGCGGCGUGCCUAACACAUGCAAGUCGAACGAAGUCUUCGGACUUAGUGGCGGACGGGUGAGUAACGCGUGAGAACCUGCCUCGAGGAGGGGGAUAACAGCGGGAAACUGCUGCUAAUACCCCAUAUGCCGAAAGGUGAAAAGAAAUUUGCCUUGAGAGGGGCUCGCGUCCGAUUAGCUAGUUGGUGAGGUAAGAGCUUACCAAGGCGACGAUCGGUAGCUGGUCUGAGAGGAUGAGCAGCCACACUGGGACUGAGACACGGCCCAGACUCCUACGGGAGGCAGCAGUGGGGAAUUUUCCGCAAUGGGCGAAAGCCUGACGGAGCAACGCCGCGUGGGGGAAGAAGGCCUUUGGGUUGUAAACUCCUUUUCUCAGGGAAGAAGAACUGACGGUACCUGAGGAAUCAGCCUCGGCUAACUCCGUGCCAGCAGCCGCGGUAAUACGGAGGAGGCAAGCGUUAUCCGGAAUUAUUGGGCGUAAAGCGUUCGUAGGCGGCGUUUCAAGUCUGCUGUCAAAGGCCGAGGCUCAACUUCGGAAAGGCAGUGGAAACUGAAAAGCUAGAGGUCGGUAGGGGCAGAGGGAAUUCCCAGUGUAGCGGUGAAAUGCGUAGAUAUUGGGAAGAACACCGGUGGCGAAAGCGCUCUGCUGGGCCGAACCUGACGCUGAGGGACGAAAGCUAGGGGAGCGAAUGGGAUUAGAUACCCCAGUAGUCCUAGCCGUAAACGAUGGAGACUAGGUGUUGCCUGUAUCGACCCGGGCAGUGCCGAAGCCAACGCGUUAAGUCUCCCGCCUGGGGAGUACGCACGCAAGUGUGAAACUCAAAGGAAUUGACGGGGGCCCGCACAAGCGGUGGAGUAUGUGGUUUAAUUCGAUGCAACGCGAAGAACCUUACCAGGGCUUUGACAUCCCCCCGAAUCUCGGCCGAAGUUUGAGAGUGCCUACCGGGAACCCCGGAGACAGGUGGUUGCAUUGCUUGUCGUCAACCCCGUGUCCUUGAGAUGUUGGGGUUAAAUCCCCGAAACGAGCGCCAACCCUUCGUCCUUACGUUGCCAUCCUUAAAAUGGGGGCAUUCUUAGGGUAACUUGCCGUGUAAUAAAUCCGGAAGGAAAGUGUGGGGAUGGACGUCAAAGUACUACAUGUCCACAAUAAUUCCUUGUGGUGAUAACCUUUCCUCAUAUGUGUCCUGGGAUAGGUGGUAAUCC
RNAcentral lists this ribosomal RNA (1232 nucleotides) under uncultured bacterium. RNAcentral's name for it is "bacterial SSU rRNA". It matches the Rfam family "Bacterial small subunit ribosomal RNA", at positions 8 to 1255 of the family's 1533-position model. The record is from RNAcentral.